This is an RNA transcript of Gadus macrocephalus (Pacific cod), 2921 nucleotides long. It is a transcript of the gene named arrestin domain-containing protein 3-like, with no coding region annotated. The record is from RefSeq and is a predicted model, not a curated record. The transcript has 7 exons. NCBI's taxonomy places the organism in Eukaryota, Metazoa, Chordata, Actinopteri, Gadiformes, Gadidae.
GCUCCUACAAAAAUAGCUCCUCCAGUCCAAAACAAACGUUAUUUCCGCGUUACGUAGUUAUACGUUUUUAUCUACUACGCAAUGCCUACAAUAAAGGAUUUAACGUUGACUUACGAUGCACUUAACGAGGAAAAUACGUUUUCCGAGGGAGACACUUUAACGGGCACAGUGACGAUGUGCAUGGAAAAAGAUACGAAAGUUGAAUCCUUUUUCGUCAAACUUAAAGGCGACGCAAAUGUGCAUUGGAGCGAAAAGCGUGGUGAACACAAUCACAGUUAUAAUGCACACAGGAGGUACUUCAAACUUAAACAAUUUUUGAUUCCUGAAAACACUAAAGACACUGAAAUCUCCAAGGGAUAUCACUCCUAUAAAUUCAGCUUCAAAAUUCCAUCCGGGAGUAUGCCCUCAUCCUUUAACGGGUAUUUUGGUAAGAUCAUCUACAGACUAGAAGCCAAGCUUUCAAGGAGCUGGAAGUUGGACAGUAGUGUAAAGCAGGAGAUCAACUUUGCAUCGAAGGCCAUUCCAAACCUCAGCCACCUGAUGACCCGCCAGGUUGGCCAAAUGGAUAAAGACAUAGGAAUCUUCUCAAAAGGAUCCGUACACAUGGAGGCGUUUGUGGAGAGCGGAGUCUACGCCCCGGGUCAAACUGUGGCAGUUACUGUUAAAGUCAAAAACACAUCCUCAAAAGACAUGACCCCCAAGUUCUCUUUGAAGCAGAAUGUUACGUUCCAUGCGCAAGGCCGUAGAAAGUGCAGUGGUAGUGAAAUCUGUAAGUUAGUUGGGGAGGUUAUUGAGAAGAAAAGUGAAAAAACAAUCACUUGUGCAUUGAAGAUCCCUCCUGACCAGAUCCUAUCCAUCCAGAACUGUGAAAUCCUUUCAGUUGAACAUCAUUUUAAGGUGUACUUGGACAUCAGCUUUGCCACAGACCCAGAGAUCAAGUUUCCACUGGUCAUUGCCCGUUCCGGCUUCAUGUUAAACCCAGGGCCCGGGGGAAUGAACCAGCCGUACCCCCCUGUAGCAUACGGGGGCCCAAGCAACAGCGACUUCCCUCCCCCCGCCGCCUGCUCUCAGCCAGCUCCGCAUCAGCAGGCCUAUGGUCCCUCAGUACCCUUCGGCCCCCAAGCAUCCUUCGGGCCCCAAGCAGGUUACGGGCCUCAAGCAGCCUUCGGGCCCCAAGCAGCCUUCGGGCCCCAAGCAGCCUUCGGACCCCAAGCAGCCUUCGGACCCCAAGCAGCCUUCGGACCCCAAGCAGCCUUCGGGCCCCAAGCAGGCUAUGGGCCUCAAGCAGCCUCCGGGCCCCCAGCAGAAUGGGGCCCGGGGCCCGCUGCGCCCGGUGCCAUGGGAGCAGCUUACUACCAGCCCGUGCCACAGAACGUGUCUCCGUAUGGACCCCCGGCCCAGCCCUCGUCGCACGCCCCCGUGCUCCACCCUCCUCCUCCUCAAAGGGGCCCGGUUCCUCCACCGGCGGCUCCGGGGGCUCUGCCCUCUGCGCCGACGAUCGACCCCGGCCAGUACGCCCCGCCGUCAUUCGCCUCCUGCUACAACACCCCCACGUAUAGCAUGCCGCCGCAAAUGCCGGGGAUGGGCACCGAUUUUCUAUCCCAACAAAAUGAAGAACCUCCUUCGUAUCUGUCUAUGUUCCCCCCGGCAACCAACGAUAAACCGCCAAAAUAAUUGAACAGAAAGCGCUGAUGAUUCAUUGUCGUGGUUUUCGAAACAUGGAAACGUGCCAUGGGAUGAAUGUAUACACCUCAAUAUGCAACCUUUGUUCCAUUAAUGUUAUGCACAUAUACACGUAUGCUAUGAAAAGCCUUAUUCAAUGUCUAAAAUGUGGGUCGGCUUAGCUCAGGAGGUAGAGCAGUUGUCUUGUAACUGAAUGGUUGCUAGUUCGAUCCACAGCUCCUCCUAGCUGAGUGUUGAUUUGUCCCUGAGCAAGACACUUAACCCUAACUGCUCCUGCUCCUGACUUUUGCCUUGCAUGGUUGACUCUGCCGUCGGUGUGUGUAUUAACCGAUGUAAGUCGAUUUGGAUUAAAGCGUGUGCUAAAUGCCCUAAUUGUAAUUGUUAUUGUAAAAUGGUGAAGUUUAAAGGCCUUUGGUAUUUUGUGGUUUCCUCUCAGGGCUCAACCAUGGCCAGUGAUGUCAUUCAAACACACCUGGUUGCAUGUGGUCUACAACUGCAGUAGUGUGACCACAAUAUCCCUACAAUGGACCAUUUUAUAUUGAAGACUUUAUUCAGCCAUGCAUGUAUGGGAGAAAUGUGUGACAUAUUUGAAAUAUAAGAAAUCUAAUUAUUAUACACUAUACAUAUAAAUACAGAAUGAUCAGUAUCAUACCUACAUGCUACAUGAAAGGGUGGAAAAACAGUCACCAAAGAGUCACAUCAUUUUAAUAAAGCUCUAUUGGACGUACUAAUAUUAAUCAUUCAUUUUAAAUAAUCCUAUAUCGUUUACAUUUCCUGUUCUCUUUUCUUAUACUUUCUAGGACACAUGUCCUGCUGAACUUGGGGUACUAUGCUUUGGUUGAUCGCCCACUCUUUGCUUAUUGUAGGGCAGCUCACCUAUGUAACCAAUGAACACACCCUUGUUUGACCUUUGAAGGUGUUUUGUGAUGUUGGUGGAGGGUGAUGUACUGAACUGAUUUUCUGAUGUACGGGAUGGCUUGAAAUAGAAUAGCAUUUUAUCCUCAAACAAAUGCAUUAGCAUCGGAGAAACCGUUGUACUACCUCUUGUAUAAGCCUGUUUAUAUAUAUUUAUGAUUUUUCUUUGUAUGUUUCUCUAGUGUGCCUUUAAAAUAACUUUUCCAAAUGUGGCUAGGUGUCUGGACCCUUUUGUAAAUUGCUUGCUCUUUGCUGUUAACCAAUGAAUUGGAUGUUAAGAAUAAUUGUACCAACAAAAAAUACAAUAAAAACCCACUUCCAUA